GAUGAACGCUGGCGGCGUGCUUAACACAUGCAAGUCGAACGGAGCUUAGAAGGAAGCUUGCUUUCAUUUAAGCUUAGUGGCGGACGGGUGAGUAACGCGUGAGCAACCUGCCCUCGAGUGGGGAAUAACAUCGAGAAAUCGGUGCUAAUACCGCAUAAUGUCGAGAGACCGCAUGAUCUUUCGACCAAAGGAUUUAUUCGCUUGAGGAUGGGCUCGCGUCCGAUUAGUUAGUUGGUGAGGUAACGGCCCACCAAGACUUCGAUCGGUAGCCGAACUGAGAGGUUGAUCGGCCACAUUGGGACUGAGACACGGCCCAGACUCCUACGGGAGGCAGCAGUGGGGAAUAUUGGGCAAUGGGCGAAAGCCUGACCCAGCAACGCCGCGUGAAGGAUGAAGGUCUUCGGAUUGUAAACUUCUUUGAUUGGGAAGAAUAAAAUGAC
This 440-nucleotide ribosomal RNA is filed under the name bacterium AE4001. RNAcentral describes it as "bacterial SSU rRNA". It matches the Rfam family "Bacterial small subunit ribosomal RNA", at positions 28 to 457 of the family's 1533-position model. The record is from RNAcentral.